RNAcentral lists this ribosomal RNA (521 nucleotides) under uncultured bacterium. RNAcentral describes it as "partial 16S ribosomal RNA". It matches the Rfam family "Bacterial small subunit ribosomal RNA", at positions 355 to 867 of the family's 1533-position model. The record is from RNAcentral.
UGGGGAAUUUUGGACAAUGGGCGCAAGCCUGAUCCAGCCAUGCCGCGUGCGGGAAGAAGGCCUUCGGGUUGUAAACCGCUUUUGUCAGGGAAGAAAUCUUCUGAGUUAAUACCUCGGGAGGAUGACGGUACCUGAAGAAUAAGCACCGGCUAACUACGUGCCAGCAGCCGCGGUAAUACGUAGGGUGCAAGCGUUAAUCGGAAUUACUGGGCGUAAAGCGUGCGCAGGCGGUUUUGUAAGACAGAGGUGAAAUCCCCGGGCUCAACCUGGGAACUGCCUUUGUGACUGCAAGGCUUGAGUGCGGCAGAGGGGGAUGGAAUUCCGCGUGUAGCAGUGAAAUGCGUAGAUAUGCGGAGGAACACCGAUGGCGAAGGCAAUCCCCCUGGGCCUGCACUGACGCUCAUGCACGAAAGCGUGGGGAGCAAACAGGAUUAGAUAGCCCUGGUAGUCCACGCCCUAAACGAUGUCAACUGGUUGUUGGGAAGGUUCCUUCUCAGUAACGUAGCUAACGCGUGAAGUUG